Molecule: long non-coding RNA, 5348 nt
Organism: Melospiza melodia melodia
Lineage: Eukaryota; Metazoa; Chordata; Aves; Passeriformes; Passerellidae
Exons: 3
Source: RefSeq, a predicted model, not a curated record
CAGCCCCCUCGCUUCCCCCUCGGGCUGCUCCGUGCCCCGCUCAGCGCUCCCGGCCCCACCUUCCUGCUCAACAGCAGCUGUAAGGCUGUUCUGGCGCAUACAUGCCCUCACGGGGACACAAUUGCUCGAGGAAAACAUUUCCCCUUCUUUUUCCUGGCACGGCUCUAGGCAGUUUCCUGAGCGGAGCAGUGACGAAAGGCAGAGGCUGUGGCCGCUCGGGCAGUGACGGCGGGACGCCCUUCGCCUCGGCUUUGCGGGCUCCAGGUCUGCCCUACUUCCCUGGAGGAGUGUUUAUCAGCUAAAGGAUUAGUGCAUUUGCAGUAUCACAGAGAGAGCAGCAGCAAGACUGAGACAAUGGACCCCAGUGAAAUGCCUUGGUGGGUGAUGACUAGAGCACAUCCAGGGGUGCUAAGCAUCCAAUGAUCAGCAUUCAAUAGCAUCGGGAGGAACAAAGCUGGAACAUGUUGGAUGCAGAAUCUCUUGGGAAGGGCUAUUGUCCCAUGCUGAGUUUCUCACUGCUGACAAUGCUGCAACCAGUGAGUGGCUAUGUGACAGGAGAGAGAGGAGGGUGACUCCUUGCUGGUCUGCAGAGGGGGCCUUUACUUCCCUGAUUUGCUCUGCUCAGUAGAAGUAAAACAUCUUAUUUUCAUUAUUACAAGUAACAUUUUUAGUUCUGAACUGAACACUUAUGGAGGAAGGCCUAAAAAACCACUAAAGCUAUUUUUUAUUAGUUUGGAUGGAAAUCACUUUCUUCCUUUCUUCUAAUGCCUGGGAGUUCUUGCCAUAAGUUCUAAAGAGCAAUACAUAAUGGUGGUACCAUUGUGAGUGCCUUUCAGCUCCAAAAUCCCCUGGGACUGGCUUUUAACGUGGGCUGCAGGGAAUGGAGAUGAUGACUUGGUGUUAGAAGAAAGAGGGAUGCUGUCUUGGGGCUGUGUAGGGUUAAGCAUGAGCCCGUAGUCCCCACAUUCUUCACAUCCUGGAGUGCCCCCAGCUCGUAGCAUGUUUUGCAUUGGAGAAUCACUGUCAUGUCACCAAAACCAGCUAUGUGUCACUGAUGGGGUAAUGCAAUUGCAGAACCUUCCACGUGUCCUCAAAUUUGCCACAGGCCAUAAAGCUUCCAGGGCAGUGGCCUGAGGUCCCACCUGGGUCAGCAAACUGGUGAGGAAACUCCCCUGUCACCCCUGUCAGACCAUUCAGAUGCUGCUCUGAGGGUGCCACUGUCAGCACACUGGCACUGCUGGGGUCACAGCCCCUUGGCAGCAGAGGCUCCAGUGACCCCACAGGCCCCGUGUGGGUCCCUGCACACCCCACGGCCCCCGUGUGGGUCCCUGCACACCCCACGGCCCCCGUGUGGGUCCCCGCACACCCCACGGGCCCCCCAGUCACACCAGCUCCUCUCACCAGCUCACCAGGUUCCCACAGCACAGUCCCAGUUCCUUUGUGGUGCAGGGACACAGAACAGCUGAGCUGGUGCCCUGGGGGAGACCCCAGACAAAGCCCCUCCAGGCUGUGCCCAUCCUGAUGCUGAUGUUUAGCCUGGCUCCUAUUCCUGACUCCUGCAGAGUCCCAGAGCCCUGACAUGGCUCCUUAGGGCCCCAAACCCUUGGUCAGGCAAAGGGUCAGUGCCAGGUCCCAGCCCCUUGCUGGGGGCUCUGGCCAUUCCCCCCACUCUGAGCACAACCUGCAGAUGCUGCAGCUCCCUGAGCUGGGCACUGGAGCAUCCCACAACAACCCUCCCUUUGUUUUAGUGGAGCACCCUGCUAAUAUAUUGAAAGGAAAAAGAAAAAAACUUCCAAGAUAUUUGAGUACUGCCCUUAUAUACAAUAUUAUAACAAGUAAAAAACAUAGCAGAAUUAAGGCCAACAGGGUGAAGUACAACAUAGACUCCUGUGCACAAAUACUUCACAAAAUCACAAAGGAUUCUCAGAAGGCAGUUAUUUAUCAACCUGUUGAUCACAGAAUCACAGAAUCAUUAAGGUUGAAAAAGACUUCUGAGACCACCAAGUCCAACCUGUGAUCAAGCACCACUUUGUCCACUAGGCCAGAGCUCUGUGCACCACAUCCAGUCUUUUCUUAAACACCUUCAGGAACAGUGACUCCAACACCUCUCUGGACAGCCCAUUCCAGUGUCUAAUCACCUUUUCUGUGAUUGUCCUUCCUAAUGUCCAAUGUAAACUUCUAGUGCAGCUUGAGACUGUCCUCUUGUCCUGUUGCUGGCUGCCAGGUAGAAAAGCCCAACUCCCACCUGGUUCUACCCUCUUGUCAGGAAGUUGUGAAGAGCAAGAAGGUCCCCUCUGAGCCUCCUUUUCUCCAGGCUGAGCCCUCUGAGCCCCCUCAGCUGCUCCUUAUCAGACACUUGCUCCAGAUCCUUCAUCAGCUUUGUUGCUCUUCUCUGGACUCAGCACCAAAAUGUCCUUCCUGAACUGAGUGGCCCAGAACUGCACACAGAACUCAAAGUGCUGCCUCACCAGUGCUAAGUUCAGGAGAGGAAUCUCCUCCCUGGUCCUGCUGGCCACACCUUGGCUGGUACAGGCCAGGUGCUGUUGACCUCCUUGGCCUGAACACUCCUGGGCUCGUGUUCAGCUGCUGUUGACCAGCAUCCCCAGGCCCUUCUCUGCUGGGAGCCUUCCAGCCACUCUGCCCCAAACCUGCAUCACUGCAGGGGAUUUUUGUGGCCAAAGUGGUGCAGGACCUGGGAACUGGUCUUUUUGAGCCUCGUGCUGUUGGUCUUGGCCCAUCAAUCCAGCCUGUGCAGAUCCCUCUGCAAGGUCUUCCUACCCUCCAGCAGAUCAACACUGCCACCCAUCUUGGUGUCAUCUGUGAAUUUACUCAGGGUGGGCUCAGUCCCCUUAUUCAGAUCAUCAAUAAAUAAACUGAACAGAACUGGGCUCAACAGUGAUCACUGCGCACUGCUAGUGAAACUAAUUGAACAGAUCAUCUUCUGGUUGUUUGAUGUGAGAAGAGUAUAUCCAAUUUUUCUUACCCAUAACUUUAACAACAAAAUAGGAACACAGUAAAACAGCACAUGACCCCUCCUAUCUAGGUACUAAUUUGGAUUUUCUAGAGAAUACCUUAUUUAAAAUUCCAUCUCCAGGCUGUAAAUCAUGUACCUGUAUUUCGGGGGAUUGAGCUGAUAACACUGAGCAUACUUUGUUCUUUGAACCCUUUCUGAUUAUAUAUGACACACUGGGUCAAUCUCCAUCCAAUAAGCUGGGAUAUAAGAUCUUGGCAUAGCUAAGUGCCUUCCAAAGAGAAUUUAUGUUCUUGUCAGCCCUAUAGCUUAUCACAGAGUAUUCUGAGUAUGCCACAGAGCCAAAUGUAAGGCUUCUGGACAUUUCAGAUUAGUGUACAUGUAUCUUUUCACUAUCUUUUCUUUUAAUGUUCUGUUAAUUCUCUCUGCUUCUCCUGAAGACUGUGAGUGAUGUGGUAUAUGUAAUUUCCUUUCUCUCCCUAAAGAUUUGUACAGCUGAUGGAUUAUAUUUUCUGUAGCCAGGCAUUUACUACUCCUUCCAUGUCAGCCCUUCAUGUUGGAGAGGCUCCUGCCCAGCCUGGCAGCUGACCUACCUUCACCAGCCACUCCUGUCCAUGGGAUCUGUGCAACCACUGGAAAGGGAAGCAGGCCCAUGGUGACCCUUCCACCUCUGAGCUCGCUCUGUUACAUCAGAGCUGAGCUUUGGGCAAGCUGCACAGCUAUUAGUAAUUUAUUUUGCAGCAGCCUGAAUUCCUGGAGCUGCCCGCACUUUUUGUCCCUCCAUGGGCUUUACCCUGAAACCAUCGGACCACAGUUACUAAACAUUUCUUUGGCAGAGCAGUUUUUCUCCAGCUGACCGUAUUCCAUCAUCAUUUUGAGUUGCCUCCCACUUUUCCCAUCUCUUUCACAGAAUCACAGAAUCACAGAAUUUCCAAGACUGGAAGAGACCUAUUCUCCUUCUGUUGAGCCAUCUUUCUCUUAGAUAGUUUGAAAUUCUGUCAAAUUGGGCCUUUCACUCUCAACAGCCAUCAGACAGAGUCACAGUGCCCCAUCAUGCCAGAGGCUGCCUAGCUGUGCCUUCACAGCUGCAUUAGCUGGGGCACUGCCUCUGCCAACCCCUGUAAUGCCUCCAGAGUGGGCUGGACAAGGCACUCCAGCAGUUUCUGCAGGGAAUUCUACAGCUUCUAGCAAACUGCAUAUUUCUUCUCCAUUGGAUACUCUGCUGAUGUGAAAAAUCCCUGCCCUUUCCAUAACAUUCCUGCUGCAUGACAAACACCAAAAGUGUAGCAAAUAUCAAAUGUAUAGCUGUUAACUCAGUUCCCUCUUCCCAGAUGUGCAGCAGGAGCCAGGGCUGCUCCCUGUGUGCUGCUCCUUGCUAGGAGUGGUUCAGCUUCUGUUCCCUGUCCCUGGCAUCCCCAUGGGUGGCCUACCCAGACCAUCACUGUCCUUGCAGGUAGGAAGAUGAGCCCAGAGCUAGACCUUGGUUAUUAUGUGAGGGAACAUCAGUUAAUGGAAAUCUUCAUCCCUUGCUCAGACUGGAGAUGUGCUUCUCCAUUGUCAGGCAGAGGCAUUCGGCUCACUGCAUUCGAGGUGUUGCAUGUUUUUAAGAGUAUCUGCUGUUAGGAGGAUUUGUUGUGACAGAGCUGGGGUUGGAUACUUUCAACAGUAUCUCCACCUCCUGUGGGACCUGGACUGUUGCAGGAUGUCCCAGGGUGGGGGGGUGGCUUUUCUCUAAUGUUGCUGCUGCUGCCACCACCGAUCUAUGACAGGCUGGUGCUCCCCCUGCAACUGGAUCCAGAUGAACUGAGGAAUGUGUGACCAGUCUGGUAGGGUCCCGUUUCCUAUGUUGUUAGUCCAGUGGCCGUUUCUUUAUGUUCAUGUGCACACACACACACACACGUAUUAAAUAUAACUUUUUUUCAGUAACAAAAAUAUUUUCCUUUUCACUGAAGGGAAAAUACAAAACAUUUGGAAUGGAACCAGUUUCCUGCUCAGGUAGGACUUUUUGCCCACUGUCCUGGAAGAAAAUGAAAGUUUUCCCAAGUUAAUAGAAAUAAUAUUAGUGUAAGAAGCUUUUCUGCUGCUUUGCACAUGCCACUAGUCGCAGCCAUAGGUGAUGCCCUCCCUUCAUGAAUAGAACACACCAGAUCUUCAAGAACAGCUACAACAGCUCUCCUUAUUCUGAGGGAAGUCUUCAAAUAUUACUUGUAUGGUAUGUUUAUCAUCCCUUCACCUAAUAUAAAUGUACAUGGAGAAAAAUGUGCUUUUAUAAAUGUUCUUUUAGAAAUAUACAAAAAUAGCAAAUUAUGAGCAAGUGCAUGUCCACAGGGAAUCUCAUAUACAUACAAAAAUAAAGUGGUGGUUGAGCUGACACACA